Molecule: ribosomal RNA, 253 nt
Filed under: uncultured bacterium
Lineage: Bacteria
Description: partial 16S ribosomal RNA
Rfam family: Bacterial small subunit ribosomal RNA
Source: RNAcentral
UACAGAGGGGGCAAGCGUUGUUCGGAAUUACUGGGCGUAAAGCGUGCGCAGGCGGUUUUGUAAGCCGGAUGUGAAAUCCCCGGGCUUAACCUGGGAAUGGCAUUCGGGACUGCAAGGCUGGAGUGCGGCAGAGGAGACUGGAAUUCCUGGUGUAGCAGUGAAAUGCGUAGAUAUCAGGAGGAACACCGAUGGCGAAGGCAGGUCUCUGGGCUGACACUGACGCUCAUGCACGAAAGCGUGGGGAGCAAACAGG